UUUCAGGUUUUAUGCAUGGCUGUGUUUGCGAUAAGCCUUUGGGUUAUUGCAUCGCCUGAAAGUCUCGUUCAGACCAUACAACUGUUUGGAAAUUCUACACUAAAUCUGCUCGUGAUGGAUGCAUCAGUUCAAGUUGGAAUAUCUGGAGCUCUGAUUAGUGGUUUAAUUUUCUUCAUAUCAGCCAUGGGUCUUUAUGGGGCAGUUACUGGAUCUCAGUUCUUGCUGUUUAUGUACGGGACACUGGUGAUACUUAUGAUGCUUCUGGAGUGCGCCCUUCUGUACUAUUUUUCUUCGAAUAUAACUGAG
Vanessa tameamea is the source of this 306-nucleotide long non-coding RNA. RefSeq lists it as uncharacterized. The transcript has 3 exons. NCBI's taxonomy places the organism in Eukaryota, Metazoa, Arthropoda, Insecta, Lepidoptera, Nymphalidae. The record is from RefSeq and is a predicted model, not a curated record.